Molecule: transfer RNA, 75 nt
Filed under: Streptomyces violascens
Lineage: Bacteria; Bacillati; Actinomycetota; Actinomycetes; Kitasatosporales; Streptomycetaceae
Description: tRNA-Ser
Source: RNAcentral
GGGCCGCGUAGUCCAGCGGGGCGGACGGGUCGAUGGAGACGUCAAGCGGGGCGGGUUCGGCGCCCGCGCGGACCA